GACGAACGCUGGCGGCGUGCUUAACACAUGCAAGUCGAACGGUGAACCUCUUCGGAGGGGAUCAGUGGCGAACGGGUGAGUAACACGUGGGCAACCUGCCCCCGGCUCUGGGAUAACUCCAAGAAAUUGGGGCUAAUACCGGAUGUUCACCGCUUCCCGCAUGGGUGGUGGUGGAAAGGGUUUCCGGCUGGGGAUGGGCCCGCGGCCUAUCAGCUUGUUGGUGGGGUAGUGGCCUACCAAGGCGACGUCGGGUAGCCGGCCUGAGAGGGUGACCGGCCACACUGGGACUGAGACACGGCCCAGACUCCUACGGGAGGCAGCGGUGGGGAAUAUUGCGCAAUGGGCGGAAGCCUGACGCAGCGACGCCGCGUGGGGGAUGACGGCCUUCGGGUUGUAAACCUCUUUCAGCAGGGACGAAGCGCAAGUGACGGUACCUGCAGAAGAAGCACCGGCCAACUACGUG
Molecule: ribosomal RNA, 463 nt
Filed under: uncultured bacterium
Lineage: Bacteria
Description: partial 16S ribosomal RNA
Rfam family: Bacterial small subunit ribosomal RNA
Source: RNAcentral